Molecule: long non-coding RNA, 226 nt
Filed under: Lathyrus oleraceus (garden pea)
Lineage: Eukaryota; Viridiplantae; Streptophyta; Magnoliopsida; Fabales; Fabaceae
Description: Pisum sativum (pea) long non-coding RNA (PSAT_LNC013423)
Source: RNAcentral
ACCGGUUGAGGGUUGUCAGAGUAAAUUGUAACUGGUGCUGGACUUUCAAUGUUCACUGUUGCUGAUACUGUACUUUCUGGGAAAUAUAUUGUUGUCGGAGCGGUCUCUCGGGAACAUAUAUUUCUUCAGGAGUGAAAUAAAACGUCACUGUCGACACAUCAUUCUUCACUGGACGGGUCUGAUCGAACUGAAGACAACCUUCAUCUAUCAGUUGCUGAAUACCCCU